RNAcentral lists this ribosomal RNA (455 nucleotides) under uncultured bacterium. RNAcentral's name for it is "bacterial SSU rRNA". It matches the Rfam family "Bacterial small subunit ribosomal RNA", at positions 100 to 565 of the family's 1533-position model. The record is from RNAcentral.
GGACGGGUGAGUAACGCGUGGGUAACCUACCCCAAAGUCCGGGAUAACAGCGGGAAACCGCUGCUAAUACCGGAUGCCUUUACCUUGGGGCAUCUUGAGGUAAAGAAAGGUAACGCUUUGGGAUGGGCCCGCGUCCCAUUAGCUAGUUGGUGAGGUAACGGCUCACCAAGGCGACGAUGGGUAGCCGGCCUGAGAGGGUGGACGGCCACACUGGGACUGAGACACGGCCCAGACUCCUACGGGAGGCAGCAGUAGGGAAUAUUGCGCAAUGGACGGAAGUCUGACGCAGCGACGCCGCGUGAGCGAUGAAGGUCUUCGGAUCGUAAAGCUCUGUCCUUGGGGAAGAAGGUCUUCGGACUUGACGGUACCCAAGAAGAAAGCCCCGGCUAACUACGUGCCAGCAGCCGCGGUAAUACGUAGGGGGCGAGCGUUGUCCGGAAUUACUGGGCGUAAAG